UCACCCCGAGGAAUGCCCAUGGGGCUCUUCUGAGUCCUCCGCUGAGCCGCACCAGGAUUCCUUCAUGGAGAGUGAGGUUUCACUCCCAUCUUGCAGCCCUGAGGACUCCUCAGUAUAGCCCCGCAUGGACCCGCCUUCACUUCAUCCAGAGAGCGGAGCUGGAGCUGGCUGUGUGCCCUCCAUGGCGCAAGGGCCCCUUAAGGAGUGUGCGGACUCUUUUACCACUGCUCCACCUGGGAAGCCCCAGUCCUCACUUUGGAGCUCCCCGAAGACUCAAGAAUACAGAAGCCUUGUCAGUCGUCGAGAAAUUCUGGGAUAUGAGAGAUGGAACUUUCCCUGCCAUAUCAGUGAACAAAGGGUAUCACAGUCAUGGGCGAUGACGGCCACCACGGCUGCUGAGCUGGUGAGCCCUGAGGGUGCUCAGGAAGGAAAGAACACAGCCAUCUAGCAGCCAUCAGACUGCGGCCACCACUGAGGGUGAGCUCGGAGGGAACUUGGGACGUGAAAACAGCAGGAUCCUGGCCCCAGACAGCUGAGGCGCGCAUCGAAGUGAUGAUUUCAGCGAGCCCGGACGCUUCCAUCUUCCCAUACGUAGAAAAGCGCUAAAUUCUCUAACUUGGGAUAGUUGGUUUUCUUUAAUUGGCGGUAGCAUUCGAGGUUCAGAUUAUCUGCCUUUUGUUGCGAAGCUUCUUUAUUACCUGGCUCCUCCCCUCGCCUCCUCUGAGCAGUUCUCUCGGGGUUACUUGAGAUGCUGCCUCCCGGGCUUGAGUCCUAAGAAUAUCUGACAAAUAAAACAUAACUCUCAACGUUUAGGUUGCGUGUGUAUUUUUGGCAGACAGAUGCAUCACACAACUCUCAGCAGAUUCCUGGUCCUCACUAGAGAACACUUGCUUCUCAGACUCCAGUGAGGGUCAAAUGAGGGAAUGCUUGAACAGUGAGAAGCAGCUGUGAGCUGCUGUUCAGUCACUCAGUCGUCUCCAACUCUGUGACCCCAUGGACUGUGGCAAGCCAGGACUCCAUC
Bos taurus (domestic cattle) is the source of this 1021-nucleotide long non-coding RNA. The record is from Ensembl. Lineage: Eukaryota; Metazoa; Chordata; Mammalia; Artiodactyla; Bovidae.